UGCAGCUGUACAGUGCCAGUCUGGGCUUCCAUUACUCUAGCAUUGCUUCUUGUGGUCUUCAUUCAUUUCUUCGUUUAUAUAACAUGCGUCCUGAAGAGUAAAAAUAGCCAGACAUUAAAGAAACUGAAGACAAUGAGACAGCUGCAGGAAGAACCUGGUAUGAUGGAUUUGGAAGGCGAUUAUCAGACGCUGUCUCAUAAAGACACUGCAGUUUAUGAUGUGUGCAUCAAAGAUGAGAAUAUCAAGAGGAACAAGGAGAACAAUUAACUGAACAAAGGAAAGAGAGAAGGAACCGCUGCCAUGAGGACAGUGAACAGACAGAGUAGAAGGGAAAUAGGGAAAUCUACUUACUUAGCAGUGGCAACAAGAAAUAAAAAGAUAUGUUACGCUGUGUGUUUAUGACCCACUCUUACUUAACAAUUCGAUAUUUUCUUCCUCGUUUUUUUUUUUUAUUUAGAGACUAUGGGCCAAAGCAUUCAAGCAUCAGUCUUUCCUUCUCAUCUAUGGAAUCCCGUGUCUCUACUGCAUGUGCUGUUUUUAUUGGAUUUCCUCUUAAGUGGCUCUUCACAUCUUUUUAACUUUUGACACUCCCAGCCCUGUUCUGUUCUCAACUAGGAUGGCCAUUGGGUUAAUUCUCCAUAGUCUCCUCUUGUCUGCUUUGCUUUCCACCAGUAAUUCAAAAGAAACAGUUAUGGCAGCUGACUUUGGAGUAAAUGUUUGAAUUGUGUUCCUAAAGGACUUACUCCACUUGCUGAAUCCAUUACUACUAAGAGUGAUGAACAUGACCAAGAUUCGUCUAACAGAUGAAUCACGCAAGCGGAGAAUACCUCAUCGAAUCUCCUUACUACUUCAAUGUGGGCUGAAUGCUGACAUCUUAUCUGGGUGCUAUGAAUGUACAGUUAGUUCUGUCGAGUUCUAUCACUUAGAACCGGGGAAGCCAGUUCUGUCCUGUAAGCCCCUGUGGCUGCAAGUUUUCAUGUCAAACAAUUUCUACUUUAAAUUGGACUCCUUCCAUAAGUAAACAAGCUAUAUCAAUCAAUGCAUGAAUUACAAAAUGGUUAUUCUAAAUUUUUACUGAAUA
Long non-coding RNA from Polypterus senegalus (gray bichir), 1081 nucleotides. RefSeq lists it as uncharacterized. The transcript is spliced from 4 exons. Lineage: Eukaryota; Metazoa; Chordata; Cladistia; Polypteriformes; Polypteridae. The record is from RefSeq and is a predicted model, not a curated record.